This 479-nucleotide ribosomal RNA is filed under the name uncultured bacterium. RNAcentral's name for it is "partial 16S ribosomal RNA". It matches the Rfam family "Bacterial small subunit ribosomal RNA", at positions 28 to 507 of the family's 1533-position model. The record is from RNAcentral.
GAUGAACGCUAGCGGGAGGCCUAACACAUGCAAGCCGAGCGGUAUUUGUUCUUCGGAACAGAGAGAGCGGCGCACGGGUGCGGAACACGUGUGCAACCUGCCUUUAUCUGGGGGAUAGCCUUUCGAAAGGAAGAUUAAUACCCCAUAAUAUAUUGAGUGGCAUCAUUUGAUAUUGAAAACUCCGGUGGAUAGAGAUGGGCACGCGCAAGAUUAGAUAGUUGGUGAGGUAACGGCUCACCAAGUCAAUGAUCUUUAGGGGGCCUGAGGGGGUGAUCCCCCACACUGGUACUGGGACACGGACCAGACUCCUACGGGAGGCAGCAGUGAGGAAUAUUGAACAAUGGGUUAGCGCCUGAUCCAGCCAUCCCGCGUGAAGGACGACGGCCCUAUGGGUUGUAAACUUCUUUUGUAUAGGGAUAAACCUACUCUCGUGAGAGUAGCUGAAGGUACUAUACGAAUAAGCACCGGCUAACUCCGUG